CACGUACUGUGCGAACGUUAUUCGGAAUCACUGGGCUUACAGGGUGCGUAGGCGGCCGACCAGGUCGGGUGUGAAAGGCCCUGGCUCAACCAGGGCACUGCGCCCGAAACCGGUCGGCUCGAGUCAGCUAGGGGUCCGCGGAACUUCCGGUGGAGCGGUGAAAUGUGUUGAUAUCGGAAGGAACGCCGGUGGCGAAAGCGGCGGACUGGGGCUCGACUGACGCUGAGGCACGAAAGCCAGGGGAGCGAACGGG
RNAcentral lists this unclassified non-coding RNA (253 nucleotides) under uncultured Planctomycetales bacterium. Its description in RNAcentral is "contains 16S-23S intergenic spacer region". It matches the Rfam family "Bacterial small subunit ribosomal RNA", at positions 524 to 776 of the family's 1533-position model. Lineage: Bacteria; Pseudomonadati; Planctomycetota; Planctomycetia; Planctomycetales. The record is from RNAcentral.